CGUCUUUAGAAUAUACCUACACAUGAUAAAUCCUUAUUUAUUAUCAUCAAUAAAUUGAGCAUCCUAGUUAUAUUCAUGAACAAUCACACCUCGUCACUGUGCAUAAGCACGAAAACACCAUCAUUGUGCAUACGCACGAACACAUCACUAAUACACCAAAAGAAUUCAUACACCGAUGAAAUUCAUCAUUUAAUACACAAAUAGAAUUUAUCAAUAAUCCACGUCAAUGACACUUCAUCAAUAAACUCACAAAUAAAGUUUAUCAAUUAAAUACAUUAACCAACACAUCAAUUUAGUUUCAUUCAUAUAUUCAUCACCAUUAUCUUUUCGAAGAUUAGAUAAAAUAAUUUAGCUAAUCCUAACUCCACUCAACUACAUUCUCUCUAUUUCCCANNNNNNNNNNNNNNNNNNNNNNNNNNNNNNNNNNNNNNNCUUUACUAGAUUCGUUUUAAUUCGAAAACAACUUCUCCUAAUUAAUCACUAAGUUUUAUCAUGAAAAGUAGUGAUUUAAACUCUCCUAAACUCACCUAAUAAUUAGGAUUAAUUCGUAUAAAGAUUAGGGAUAAAAAGGGAUCGGAAAAAUAGACCUAACAUCACAGAACAACGCAAACCAGAGUUGCAGGACUGCGAUUUGCGCAUGAGGCGCAAAAGACAGCAUCCACCUGCAGAAUUUUGCAGGUUUUGACCUGCUCACCGCGCAGACCAUAAGUUGAGCUACGUAUAUCGGAUUUCAACGCGUAAACAUGCGUUGGAAAGCUAAGGGAAAGAACUACAACUUUUAUGUUGACCUCAAAAACCAGUUCAGAACGCAAAAGGGUCAAAUUGUCACGUUUUUGCUGCAGACUUUAUC
This 850-nucleotide long non-coding RNA is filed under the name Trifolium pratense (red clover). RNAcentral's name for it is "long non-coding RNA (TPRA_LNC007622)". Lineage: Eukaryota; Viridiplantae; Streptophyta; Magnoliopsida; Fabales; Fabaceae. The record is from RNAcentral.